RNAcentral lists this ribosomal RNA (513 nucleotides) under Leptophlebiidae sp. Malagasy taxon 1. Its description in RNAcentral is "eukaryotic LSU rRNA". The record is from RNAcentral. Lineage: Eukaryota; Metazoa; Arthropoda; Insecta; Ephemeroptera; Leptophlebiidae.
CGCCGCGGGUACAACUCGGGGGCGCCCUUCGGGGCCGUCUCUCGGGCCCGCGGCGCGGUCUCGCGCGCGGGAGGUGGAGCGCACUUCUCCUCGAGUAGGACGCCGCGACCCGCUGGGUGUCGGUCUGAGGCUCGGGUGCGAGUCCGUGUCGCGGUUCGCCGCGUCGCGGAGCCCCGGUGUCCCGACCGACCGCUCGGCGGUCGAACGUGAGGAACAGGCCCGCGCUACUCUUGGCGCGCCCGCGUCGCUUGCGAGCGUCCGGCCGAACCCGUCGUGCGGACUCGUCCGCCGCGGGCCGGUCGGCGUUGUCGGCUUGCGGACUUCUCGGGCAGCGGUCUACUCCUGUCUGCGGCGCUCAAAGCUGGGCGGCCCACCCGGCCCGUCUUGAAACACGGACCAAGGAGUCUAACAUGUGCGCGAGUCAUUGGGUCCGACUAAACCCAAGGGCGCAUUGAACGAGAAGGCCGGCGCAUGCCGGCCGAGGGAGGAUGGGGCCUCGCUCGCGGGGCCCCC